Molecule: RNA transcript, 6394 nt
Organism: Lytechinus pictus (painted urchin)
Lineage: Eukaryota; Metazoa; Echinodermata; Echinoidea; Temnopleuroida; Toxopneustidae
Gene name: calcium channel flower homolog
Exons: 6
Source: RefSeq, a predicted model, not a curated record
GAGUUUUGGAAUUUCAAAAUAUAACUUGAUCCCCUCCCCUCAUCAUGACUCAUCCUAGUGUGGCAGUGACGACUGUCUACACCGUCCAUGCACCAGUGCAUCCUCUUCUGUGUGGGCCAAUAAAAAGGUUAAAAGCCGUCGAAAAAAAAAUCACACAACACAAACACACGACGUUCUGAAUACAUGGGACCAAAGGCAAAGCAAGGAAAAAACUACUAUCAUAUUUUCGAAUAAAGAAGUGCCAAUUAUACAGGGAUAAAGUACUUAAGUUGUUACUCAACUGAAGACAGGACGCCUCUUCCAACAUUUCAUGAUAUCUAUAUUACAAAUAUAAGUUAUAAACUUACCAUUUCGUAAAAUUGGUGAAGACGACAGGCAAUAUUUUUUUCAAGUAUCACUUCUGCUCUUGAUGACGUCAUCAAAAAAUAUUGGACAAGCUGGCAGAGGCGAAAGUUCUUCUUGAUUGCUGUUUUUUUCAUACUUUAAGAUGGCGGAUACGUACAAAAGUUUGGGCAACGAUGGCCAACCUCAGCAAGCAUCACCUCCACCUCCACAAAAAGAAACGGGUUUUUGUUUCAGGCUUUUCGUAAGGAUUGUUGCUUCUGUAGCUGGAGUGUUGGCUAUUAUUCUUGGACUGGUAUCUAUGAUCUCAAUCAAAGGACUGUGCAUUGUUGCAGGUAUCUACAUCAUGCUUCUUGGAUUCCUGACGAUUCUAUUAGAAGCCCCGUUUUGCUGCCAGUUCCUUGACAUCACAGACAAAGUCAGCAAAUGGAGCGAAAACAGAGCUCCUUGGCAGAAGGCUCUCUUCUAUCUCUUGUUACCUAUUGUGCCGUUCUUCUUCUGCGUUGGAGUUAGUCAAAUUUUUGCCUGCCUUGUAAUCAUGGCGACUGGCGUUCUCUAUGGACUGGUGUUCAUUGGAAAGAAGGGUGAUGCUGUUAAGAAUGCCCACAGAGCCCAGCAGCCUGGAGGAGACAUGGCGUUAUCAGACCCUCCAUCCCAGGAUCAGUACGGCAAGAGAGAACUCAUCCCUUGAACUGACAUUGAGGGCGCUAGACUUACCAGCCGACAACGGCACAUUCCACCCUCCAAUACACAGCCUCACAUAACGCAUGGGUAGCGUUCCAUGAAACAAGUAUUUUAUGUUUUUCACUGACAAUUGUUAUAAGCUACUGAUAUCCGUGCAUCUGAUUGGCUGAGAACAAAUUAGUGAGUGAAAAUCACUGACUGUUUGAUUCAUGAAGCUUUCCCCCUGGACCAUUCUGCUUUUAUCAUUCCACUUUUUUUUUCUGCUGCUCAGGUCUAUUGAAGUCCAUAAAAAUUUGUAUUUUAAAGUCCAGAGUAUUAUACUUACAUCAACAUGCCUGAAGAAUCUAUUCCAAUUUUUCUUUUGUUUGCACAUCGGCCAUGAUUUUGUAUACAUGUUUUUUAUUGUUUUAUCUUUAUCUUUACAUUGGACGCAAGCAAUCUCUGCGCAAGCCCAUUGUGGACCGGCUUCAACAUCCAAAAAUGUCAGCACACACUCAUGUGGCGACAAUCGUGCAUAGUAUUUUGGCCUCCGUUUACUUGAGACAUUGUAGAAAAUUAUGGCUUUGUACAAGAAAAUUAAGAAGCAUGAAAAUUGACAAUCCAAUCUCUAUUCAUAGUUCAAUAUAAUAUGUUAAGGUUUGGAAAUCAGUGCAAAUUGAUAGCAGUAAAGUAUUUUAGUUGUUGGGAACUUGCAAAUUCUUGAUUUCUAAUCAUUUUAAUUUUUUUUGUCCAGUUCUCUACAAAAUCGUGGAAUACGGGAUUCAAGUUUAUUAGUAAUAUGCCAUUAGAAAUUGGCGCCACCCAUCAAGAUAAAAUCCUGUAAUGUUUUUGGCUUUUUAAGAGUUCAGAUGUUGGAAAGUUUGCAGGCUCUAGUGAAUGUUUAUUAUUGAAUUUGGUAACAUCUAUGUAUUCAGGCUGUUGGUAACUGAAGACUUGUGCAAUAUACUAAUACUCACUGUAAAAUUGAGUAACUUUUGAAUCACUGCACUGAGUUGGAUAAAAAUGAUAUUUUGAAUGUGCAUCUGUAUGAUUUGCACAUUGAUCUGAGCUUUAAUUCAACAUUUAACAUGCCCGAUCAUUUCAUUUUCCUUUUCUUCAUUUAUGAUUUUUAAUUUUCAUAAUGCAUCAUUGUUUAAUUCUUAUUUAUUAUCUUCCCUUUUGAUUAGAUUGUUUGUAGAUUUUUUGAAAGUAUAUGGAUAGAUUAUUUGUUGCCAAUAUGCAUAGGAUGAAAAAAAAAUUUAACUUCAUAUAUCAUAAGGCAAUUUGACAAUUUAGUAAUCUUCAACAUGUCACCACUUUUGGUAAUUACCAGAAAACUUUCACCUAUAGAAAAGAUAUGUCUACUUCCAUCUGUGUUCUCCCCAUUAGUUAAUUUUGUGUGUUCUUUGCAUAAGAAACAAGAAUAAGUGCAAGACCUCAUUUACAACUCAAGUUAAGGAGUGCUUGGAACUAUAUGAUUACCAAAGUGAUGCAAAUGCAGUUAUUUGAACAGUAUGUUAAUUAUAUGAGGCAUUAAUUCCCACUCUGAAAUGAAUUUUAUCUUUGAAAAAUAUUUAUAUUCACAAAAAUAAGUGAAAUAAUCAGCAGUGUGAAUAUUAAAGCUGCUGUUUUUGAUCUAAUUGUAUCACCAGAUUGGGCACAUGUUAAUUAUAUCAUUGGCCAUAUUAACAGUGUGGAAUACCCUUUUUCUUUUCAAGGGUAAUGUCAUGCUUUAAACCAGCUGCAAGGAAAUUGGCCGUAGUUAGAAGAGUAAUUUAUUUGAAAAGGGAAUUCUACCCCCAUUGAACCACCAACUUCCAACCUUCUUUUAUCUUCAUUCUUUGAAGCUUUUUAUUCUUCUAAAUUCAAUUAUGUUCUUGGGCGGGUUAUCAAUUUUAACAAAAUAUAUCAUCUUAAAGUUUAGGCCUGAAAAGAAAAUUGUUUGUGGUAACGGAGGGGCGGGCGAGGGGUAAUGGGUCAGUCAUUUUUUUUUUUCAAUCGAGAUUGAGUGCACACUAGAUAUAUAGUGCACUUAAAUGUAGGCAAAGCAAGGAUUAUUUGGGUCGGUCAGCAUAUUUUUUCUUUUUUUUUCUUUGGGGGGGUCAAAUUUGAGUAAAGAAAAAAAAAGUCGGCAGGUUUGGCUAGGGUCGGUCUGGUUACAGCACAUUUUUUUUUAUAUGUCCUUUUCAAGCUCAAUGAAAGUCUCAAAAUUAAUUUUGGGCCACUUAUUGUUAGUUUUGAGAUGGCAGAAUAUCUCAAAAUUCAUUUUGGGCCACUUAUUGUUAGUUUUGGGAUGGCAGUUCACAUAUGGCACUGAUAUUACAUGCUUUUCGUUUGCCUCAGUCCAGAGCAUAGUAGUGCGAUGUUCCAGCAAGUUCACAUACAACUUGAUUCACGAAAAUGCUUGUUGUACAGUACGAUGCUUGACACAAUGUUGUUCAGACUCUGUAAUUGUUGCACUUGCUGUAUAUAUAUUCACUUAUUAAUAUGUUGCAGGCAACAAGGUAAAAAUCUUGAUACAAGGAAACACAAAUGCUAAAUACUAUUGUACCAUUGGAUGCCAGGCACGUUUCUGUAAAGACUUACUUUGUAAUACUUGCUUAUUUAGCAUGUUGUUAGCAACAAGUUGCUGUACUCCAGUACAAAAGAAUCUUUUACGGUGUACCACAAACUGAUGUAUACCAUUACUAAUGUGUAUGCAAUCCGUAACAGGUGGUAUGCAACAAAUUGCCCAACCCAGUACAUGAAAAAUGCAGUUGGCCCACUUGCUGCAGAAAAAAAUGCCAUGAAUUAAUUGUUGCUUAUCAAUUGAGCAUGUUGUAAGCAACAAUAUGUCCAGUCUCAAUGUGUGGAAACAUUGUUGUACUAAAUGUCGCUCAGUGCAAAUUAUUUGAAAUCAUAUGAUAUGUCAGAGUCAGUAUUAAAGUGGAACUGUGUCUUUUAGUGGGAUAUUGUAUAAAUACAUAUUUUAAACAGUUGUUUGUUGUGUUUAAAGAUGUGCAAUCCGCUUUGUCAGAAAAUCAAUGGUUAAUUUCAAAAUCGUCUCUUUACGUCAUAGAUUAUACAAAGAGUAUUCUGUGAGAGAUAUAUAUAUUUACUUGUAUACCUGUGUGCCAGUAAUGCAGAAUUAAAAAAAAGAAAGAUCUAUUCCAUUCCACACUUUAUUUCCUCAAUUACAAAACGUAAUUUGCUGCAAUAUACAUGUAUGGUCAGUAGAAUCCACUUGGCAUUGCAACUAUUAUUUAAACUAUAGUAUUGCUUUUCUAAAAUUCAAAAUUUAACUUGAAGAUUAAAUUCCACAUUGGUACUUCUUAAAUAUAAUGUUUCUGUGUUUAUGCCAAAAUUAGUUUUUGGAUUGGUUUGUUGUACUAGAUUUUAUAAGUCUAAAUGUUUUGUAGAAAAGAGUGGUCGACCAACAUGUAAUUAGAGUAUACAGUAUGUAAGUAUUCAUAUUUAUAAAUAUAUCAUAUUAUAUCUGUUUUGUAUUCUAGCUUGUAUAUUUCAUAUAAAUAGCAUAGAUGUAUUGUGAUAGUGAUUUUUGUUAUAUUAUUAUAUGUGAGAGGUGUAUCUUUGCCCAGGGGGGGGGGGCAGUCAAAUAUAUUUUGCUGUACACAUGCGCGACCAAAAACCAUGUUUAAAGGGGUGUUUUUUCAGUUUUGGACGCGGGCCGCGCGUGGACUCGUUAAGGGUAUCAAAAACACUGAUUUUAAAAAAAAAGGGUGGUUUGAAAGACUGGUCAAUGUCACUUGCGGGAUCAAACGUAUUUAGGGUAUGUUUUUUUUCCCCCAAAGCUUUUUUUUAAGACUAGCCAAACGUGUUUAGGGUAUGUUUUUUUCCCCAAGCUUUUUCCCCGAGUUCAUAUUUUGGCGACAUCUUAUUUAGGGGCCAAAAUGUGUAAAUAAAGCCCACAGAAAACUUUAGGGGAUUAUUUUGAACACACAGAAAAACUCGUUUAGGGGGUGUUUGGAAAUUUCUUGGUCACACGUGUGUACAGCAAUAUAUUUGACUGGCCCCCCCCCCCCCCGGAUCUUUGCUGCAGGCUACCCUACUUGCUUUACAAUGACUCUGUAUCAGAUAUGUUGAAGAGGAUAAUGUUGAUUGUUAAGUCUAGUAGAAAUGUUAUUGCAAUCGUCUUUCUGCAUUUGUAAUUUGGUCAUACAAUGGUGACUAUAUUACGUUAAAGCUUGCUAUUUUUUGAUCCAGUAAUUUUAUUGCUUUGUUACAGGAAGUGCGAUAUGAUGAAAAGUGCAAACAAGCGUAGACUAAUUAAUAUAUGGAGAGCAAUCUGUAGUCCCAAUAUUUAGGACCAAUGAUGAGCAUCAUACAAGCCAGUUUGGUGUACUAGUCUAGUUUGCUUUUAAUCGACACUUAAUCAGUGAGAAUCCCAGUUUCGAAGAACCUUUAAUUCAGACCAUGAUUGUGUUCAAUCAAUUUUUCAUCGGUCAUAAGAGCAAAUGUCUUUCAAAACGUAAACAUGAAUCGUUGUAAAAGAAAAAUUUUGGAAGACAAUAUGGCAGUUUAUUAUUAUUGCUUGAAAAAAAAGACCCUACAUGUCUGUCUGUAAUGCCAUGGUUAUUUCCCUAUUUCUCUGCAAUUGCAUGUUUUUGUCAGAAUCAUUUGGUAUAUAUAUGUAUUUUAUUAAUGCAUACAGACACUGGGGUGGUAUUUAUACCAUUGGCAUUUUUCUUUGAUUAAUAACUGUGUGCAGUUCACAUAAAUUAUAUCCAUGCUUGCACAUCUAGAAUGCUUUUGUUUUUAAAGGUUAAUGUUCUUGAAAUAUAUCCAUCAAGAGAAAAUUAAUAUCCUUUCAACAUGAAUAUAAGAAUUCAAAGAAUCGUUGUACAUGUAUAAUUUUAGCUUCCUGUUUAUACGGCCAAGGCAUUAUUGUUGAACAUGUGACUUUUAUUUUUAUGUGCAUUAUAUAAUUGUGAUGUGCGAUCAUUGUAAUUAAAUUACAUGUGAAGUCCUCCGCACACCUUACGAUUGGUCUGCGGCCCGAUAUUGGAGUAAAACGUAGUGGAAUUUGACGCUAAUAUUGAAACAUAGAAUAUCUUACUGUGUAAUGUUCUAAAUCAUCAUACGAAUACCUAUAUUCAAAUCUGUGUCUAUGUUAUAAUCCUUAUUAGAAUAAAAGCGAAUUUAACACCUAGUCAUAUGACGUCAUACAUGUUGCAAUUGUACAAUUGGCUGCGAUUUUAAUCUGGCCUUUACUCCAAAUUAAAAGCUUGCAAAAUUGUGAUAUUACUUAGUAUUCUUUCAGUUAAUAUGGGCCUCAAGUAAAAAGACACUUUUCAUUCACAUUGUCAGAAAAUGAGCAAAAUGAGAUUUGUUUCAAAUUCAGAUUGUGGACCAGUCGUAAGGUGUGCGGUGGCCUUAAACAAAAAUGUAA